GGGGGACGCAGUAGGAUAGGCGAAGCGUGCGAUUGGAUUGCACGUCUAAGCAGUAAGGCUGAGUAUUAGGCAAAUCCGGUACUCAUUAAGGCUGAGCUGUGAUGGGGAGAAGACAUUGUGUCUUCGAGUCGUUGAUUUCACACUGCCGAGAAAAGCCUCUAGAUAGAAAAUAGGUGCCCGUACCGCAAACCGACACAGGUAGUCAAGAUGAGAAUUCUAAGGUGAGCGAGCGAACUCUCGUUAAGGAACUCGGCAAAAUGACCCCGUAACUUCGGGAGAAGGGGUGCUCUUUAGGGUUAACGCCCAGAAGAGCCGCAGUGAAUAGGCCCAAGCGACUGUUUAUCAAAAACACAGGUCUCUGCUAAACCGUAAGGUGAUGUAUAGGGGCUGACGCCUGCCCGGUGCUGGAAGGUUAAGAGGAGUGGUUAGCUUCUGCGAAGCUACGAAUCGAAGCCCCAGUAAACGGCGGCCGUAACUAUAACGGUCCUAAGGUAGCGAAAUUCCUUGUCGGGUAAGUUCCGACCCGCACGAAAGGCGUAACGAUUUGGGCACUGUCUCAACGAGAGACUCGGUGAAAUCAUAGUACCUGUGAAGAUGCAGGUUACCCGCGACAGGACGGAAAGACCCCGUGGAGCUUUACUGUAGCCUGAUAUUGAAAUUCGGCACAGCUUGUACAGGAUAGGUAGGAGCCUUUGAAACGUGAGCGCUAGCUUACGUGGAGGCGCUGGUGGGAUACUACCCUAGCUGUGUUGGCUUUCUAACCCGCACCACUUAUCGUGGUGGGAGACAGUGUCAGGCGGGCAGUUUGACUGGGGCGGUCGCCUCCUAAAAGGUAACGGAGGCGCUCAAAGGUUCCCUCAGAAUGGUUGGAAAUCAUUCAUAGAGUGUAAAGGCAUAAGGGAGCUUGACUGCGAGACCUACAAGUCGAGCAGGGUCGAAAGACGGAC
Molecule: ribosomal RNA, 947 nt
Filed under: Staphylococcus aureus
Lineage: Bacteria; Bacillati; Bacillota; Bacilli; Caryophanales; Staphylococcaceae
Description: partial 23S ribosomal RNA
Rfam family: Bacterial large subunit ribosomal RNA
Source: RNAcentral